CAGCCUCAGAGUUUCCAACCAUCUCCAUCACAGAAGCAAGCAGACAAGGACCAAUGUGAUGGGAGAGGAGGCGAAUCCCCUUCUUGUUUGCCACCGAGAAGCUCUCAGACUAAAGAAGCUUCUGAUGAUCACAUCUACAGUGGCAUCACAUAAGAAAGGGAGACUCAAAGAGCAUUUGAACUUCACAGUUAAAAAUCAACACUUCAAACUCAAGUGCAUAUAUCAGCUUCAGAAGAAACGGAAAUAAAAAAGGUGACAAGGACGUGUACUAAAGAUGGGCUCUCUCUUAUAGUGAGGCCUUGACAGAUCUGCAGGAGGGUUGGCACUACACCUCUCAUCAAGGUGACAGCAGUCAGCCUUCUUGCUGACUCCCAAUCAUGAAGAGGGACGUGGAUCUCUUUGGCAGGUUGUUACCUCUGCACCCUGUAGCCCUUCUGGCAAUGAGUAGGAGUGGUAAAACACCUCAAGCAGAAAAGAUAACCGCAUUUGUCUUCCUCAAGUCCCAGGGAAGCACUUCCAGCAUUGUUCUGUUUAAAAAAAAAAAAAAUAAUCACAUUCUUGUUGAUCAAAUUGUAAGUGGGGCUUUCUGGUAUCACUUUUUAAGGUUUUGGCUUUCUAGUUCAUCAACUGCCUGUCACUGACUAUCGCAACAGCAGGAUUCUCUUCUUAUUCGUGCCAUCCAAAACUGCAAGGGCUGUGUCGGUAUGUAGCUCAGUGCCAGCUAUGUUCAACAGCUUAGUUUACAGCUAGUCUUGCAAAGUCAUUCAUUGAGAUUCUUCUCACAUUUUACUAUAUAAAAUCGCUUGAAUAAAUGUGGAAAGAAAAAAAAAUCUCAUCUAAUUUAGAAGUCCAGACAGGAAAAUCUUCCAGAUGGGACCAUUGUCAGAGUUUGUUGGUGUUCUUGCUCAAUUAGCUUGGCAGUGAACUUUAUGAAAGCAGAGCAGCUUACACGGUCACAGAAUAUGCAUGGCCCCCUGGAUGUCACCAUAUUACUAAUUAAAAAGAUGUCAUUUUCAAUGUAACCUGAUGUACAAGAUGUAACCUCUUCCCAUUUUAAAGUGGCAAAACCGCUUCUACACACAUACAGUUUGUGUUAUGCAGCCAUCUAGAGGGCCUUCUCUCUGCACUGACUUCAUGCUGUCAAAGAGAAACCACAAAACUGUAGGAAAAUAUAAGCUUUACUGACCCUUAGUGGCCAGAACUGCUAAGGUACGGUAGGAAUUCUGAAUAAAUUUAACAGUGGUGGUA
Non-coding RNA from Anas platyrhynchos (mallard), 1248 nucleotides. The record is from RefSeq and is a predicted model, not a curated record. NCBI's taxonomy places the organism in Eukaryota, Metazoa, Chordata, Aves, Anseriformes, Anatidae.